Molecule: long non-coding RNA, 584 nt
Filed under: Toxoplasma gondii VEG
Lineage: Eukaryota; Apicomplexa; Conoidasida; Eucoccidiorida; Sarcocystidae
Source: RNAcentral
ACAAGAAUUCGAGGACGGCUACGUCGCGCGGGCAGCAAGUCUAGCCAUUGUGUGGAAAAGAGACGGGCCAAUGCCACAGAUACAGAAAAAGCGGAUUUUCGAUCAAGAAAUACAGUAACCGAAACGUCAAGUCGGGGGCAUUUUCGGGGUCGCUUACAACGCUUCCCGGUGUGUCCAACCGCCUGUGUGCAUCGGAUGUUUGAAUUCGGUUUUCGUCUAGCAAGCUACACUACAUUGAACUUUUCUGGUUAUCUGGCUGGCCGGAGAAUGCACAGUUCGUUACCCUCAGAUGUACCCAGGCAGUCUUUUGAAGUAGCACAGUCAUGAGGUUCCUCAUUCGCAAGCAGAAUUUCUUGCAGUUCUUCCGGGAGGGAAAACUCCAGGGGUGCUUCGUAUAUCCACCAGUUAUCGAGCACAGAACCUACGACGAGGCAGGCUUCCGGGGGAAAGAUCAAGGUUGAGAGUUCGAAAAGAAUCUGUGUGCGGUUUCGUACUCACACUGUCCUGCCAGCGAUUUUACCGGGUUUGUCUGAAAGUGAAUUUGACGCAGCAUGAUGACCGUACAUGAUUGUGUAGGACGACCC